Molecule: ribosomal RNA, 166 nt
Filed under: Anteaglonium sp.
Lineage: Eukaryota; Fungi; Ascomycota; Dothideomycetes; Pleosporales; Anteagloniaceae
Description: partial large subunit ribosomal RNA
Rfam family: Eukaryotic large subunit ribosomal RNA
Source: RNAcentral
CGGCAACAGCUCAAAUUUGAAAUCUGGCUCCCUUGGGUGCCCGAGUUGUAAUUUGCAGAGGGUGCUUUGGCGUCGGCCGCGGCCUAAGUUCCUUGGAACAGGUCGUCAUAGAGGGUGAGAACCCCGUACGUGGCCGCCGGUCUUCGCCGUGUAAAGCCCCUUCGAC